This 1101-nucleotide long non-coding RNA is filed under the name Cervus hanglu yarkandensis (Yarkand deer). RNAcentral describes it as "lncRNA (ENSCHYG00000025134.1)". The record is from RNAcentral. Lineage: Eukaryota; Metazoa; Chordata; Mammalia; Artiodactyla; Cervidae.
GAAAGACAGGAAAUUCUUGGCUCUGGGAUCUGGUAAUAAGGGAGCCUGCCACUUUCAAAUUACCUGCUGGAAUCCAGCUCAAGACAAUUAUAGAUGAAAAAUCUUCCUGAUCUUCAGCCACCUACCCAAAAUUGAUGUUGGUUUUACACUUCCUAAAGUUGGAGCAAUGAUUUUCAUGACUUAGGGAGUGGCAGAACCAUCAUUAUCCUAACAGCCAGGAUCCGAUUCUUCUUGAAGAACCGUCCGUCCUGUUGGGGAACUGCUUUGAUAAGCUCUUGGGGUUGGAAGAUGACACUUUCAGAGCACCCUUGUCAGCAGAAGCCAAGGAAACUGACAGCUAAACUUCUCUGCCACCUGCAUAAGAGGAAUUGCUGGGGAGUGGAAGGGGGACAUGGAAAGGAAAAGGAGAAGGUAACCACAGAGAACCCAGAUAGGAGAGAAAGAAAUUAGCCAACCCAGUAUGGCAAGACUGAGGCAUCUCACUGAACAAGACCACAGAACUUCCUCCAAAGACAGGUGCGUGGAGGAUCUUACCCAGUCUGCUUUCCCAGGCUGCUGCUUACCACAUCAAAUAGAAAACGCCAUGUGUCUGGAAGAAACCUCACCUCACAGGCAGCUUUCUUCUUGAUGUGAACCCUGUACACACUCUAGAGUCUCCUAACACAGUGCUUUCCUCUGCUAUGGGUCCACAUUGGAUCCAUGUCCAUGAACAAAGGUCAAGAGGACAUCCUGGCCUUUCUCCAAGGUCCACCAUGGCAUGCAGGGCUCAGUCUCCAGACGAAUCACCCGUGGGGCAUUUCUGAAAGUAUCCAUCUGCCCUGUAUCCUCCUUGCUUUGCUUCAUUUUGGAAAAAUCUGAAUUAAAUAUAAAAGAAAUUAUUCAAUGUUUCCAACUUUUUUAGGGGCUCCUUUCCAUAAUUUGCAAUGGGGAUGUCUGCUUCCUGAUUUAUUUUUUUUUUGCAGUUAUUGCUAAAGAGAGUUGAGGUGGAAGUGGUGUGUUAUACAAAUGAUCACAGCCAUUCUUACCUGAAGGUCAUAAUACAAUUUUUUUAUUAAUUUAUUUAUUUGUUUGUUUUUGGCUGCACUGGGUCUUUGUUGCUGC